UAGAGUUUGAUCAUGGCUCAGGAUGAACGCUGGCGGCGUGCUUAACACAUGCAAGUCGAACGGGGUUAUCAUUUUUGAAGCGAUUAGCUUGCUAAGAGUGGAAAAGUUGAUAACUUAGUGGCGGACGGGUGAGUAACGCGUGGGUAACCUGCCUUACACAGGGGGAUAACACUUAGAAAUAGGUGCUAAUACCGCAUAAGCGCACAGUCCCGCAUGGGACAGAGUGAAAAACAUUAGUGGUGUAAGAUGGACCCGCGUCUGAUUAGCUGGUUGGCGGGGUAACGGCCCACCAAGGCGACGAUCAGUAGCCGGCCUGAGAGGGUGGACGGCCACAUUGGGACUGAGACACGGCCCAAACUCCUACGGGAGGCAGCAGUGGGGGAUAUUGGACAAUGGGGGAAACCCUGAUCCAGCGACGCCGCGUGAGUGAAGAAGUAUUUCGGUAUGUAAAGCUCUAUCAGCAGGGAAGAAAGAAAUGACGGUACCUGAGUAAGAAGCCCCGGCUAACUACGUGCCAGCAGCCGCGGUAAUACGUAGGGGGCAAGCGUUAUCCGGAAUUACUGGGUGUAAAGGGAGCGUAGACGGUAAUGCAAGUCUGGAGUGAAAGGCGGGGGCCCAACCCCCGGACUGCUCUGGAAACUGUGUAAUUGGAGUGCAGGAGAGGCAGGCGGAAUUCCUAGUGUAGCGGUGAAAUGCGUAGAUAUUAGGAGGAACACCAGUGGCGAAGGCGGCCUGCUGGACUGUAACUGACGUUGAGGCUCGAAAGCGUGGGGAGCAAACAGGAUUAGAUACCCUGGUAGUCCACGCCGUAAACGAUGAUUACUAGGUGUGGGUGGGUAUGGACCCAUC
RNAcentral lists this ribosomal RNA (849 nucleotides) under uncultured bacterium. RNAcentral describes it as "bacterial SSU rRNA". It matches the Rfam family "Bacterial small subunit ribosomal RNA", at positions 1 to 841 of the family's 1533-position model. The record is from RNAcentral.